This is an RNA transcript of Coccinella septempunctata (seven-spotted ladybird), 676 nucleotides long. RefSeq lists it as uncharacterized. The transcript has 3 exons. NCBI's taxonomy places the organism in Eukaryota, Metazoa, Arthropoda, Insecta, Coleoptera, Coccinellidae. The record is from RefSeq and is a predicted model, not a curated record.
UUUCAGGAAACAAAUACCCUGCACGUAAGUAUCUUAGCGAUUCGGUCUUAUUAAUUUCUUCUUUUUCCAGGUGACCAGGGUAUCUGCCGUGAAGAGCCAUGGACCGCCAUUCAUGUUUUAGUUCUUCAUCAUUUCGCUGCGUCGGAUGGUAGUCUCGAGAUGACAGUUUUAGUGCUGAAAGAUUGUCAUCGGCCAUGCGAAUCGCUUGAAAGAGAGGUUAAGAAGGCCCCUGCCUCCUUGCCGUCGUGACAGGUAGAGUCGGAUCUUUGAAGAGUGGGGGUGAUGGAUACCAAACUUAGUGAGCGUUGUUCUGAUGUUUCGAUCUAUUUCGCGGAGCUCAGUCGUCGACCAGCCGAUCGCACGUGACGGAGAUUUUCUGCUGGAAGGAGGGGUCCCUGCGUUUUAUUUUGAAUUCAGAAGCCACCUUUCUAACCGCUUUAGUUACCUUUUUGGAGGGAUUCGGCAUAUUCAGGUAAGUAUGUAUCACUCCAAUUUUUUUCCUCAAAUUAGUGAUUUUAUUUUGCAGGCGUUCCUUCCAGGGAGGGGUAUCAUGUGUUUUCUUAUGAUUUUGUUGUCCAGUAUUUUGUCCUAUUUCCCGUCCAUGUGUUUCACAUAUUGUGACAGCCCCGGCAUAGACUAUAUCAACCAAUUCUUCUAAGCUGUUGACGUUACUCAG